GAUGAACGCUGGCGGCGUGCCUAAUACAUGCAAGUCGAGCGAACGGACGAGAAGCUUGCUUCUCUGAUGUUAGCGGCGGACGGGUGAGUAACACGUGGAUAACCUACCUAUAAGACUGGGAUAACUUCGGGAAACCGGAGCUAAUACCGGAUAAUAUUUUGAACCGCAUGGUUCAAAAGUGGAAGACGGUCUUGCUGUCACUUAUAGAUGGAUCCGCGCUGCAUUAGCUAGUUGGUAAGGUAACGGCUUACCAAGGCAACGAUGCAUAGCCGACCUGAGAGGGUGAUCGGCCACACUGGAACUGAGACACGGUCCAGACUCCUACGGGAGGCAGCAGUAGGGAAUCUUCCGCAAUGGGCGAAAGCCUGACGGAGCAACGCCGCGUGAGUGAUGAAGGUCUUCGGAUCGUAAAACUCUGUUAUUAGGGAAGAACAUAUGUGUAAGUAACUGUGCACAUCUUGACGGUACCUAAUCAGAAAGCCACGGCUAACUACGU
This 496-nucleotide ribosomal RNA is filed under the name uncultured bacterium. Its description in RNAcentral is "partial 16S ribosomal RNA". It matches the Rfam family "Bacterial small subunit ribosomal RNA", at positions 28 to 506 of the family's 1533-position model. The record is from RNAcentral.